AAAGUCGUAACAAGGUUUCCGUAGGUGAACCUGCGGAAGGAUCAUUACCGGAGUACAGGCCCCUUCCGGGGCUGAACUUCCACCCUCUGUCUACUACCCUUUGUUGCUUUGGCGAGACGCCCUCGGCCACCGGCUCCCGCUGGUGAGUGCUCGCCAGAGGAAACCCAAACCCUUCUUAAAGUGUCGUCUGAACCUAAGUUUAAUUAUUAAAACUUUCAACAACGGAUCUCUUGGCUCUG
Molecule: unclassified non-coding RNA, 239 nt
Filed under: Ascomycota sp.
Lineage: Eukaryota; Fungi; Ascomycota
Description: partial contains small subunit ribosomal RNA, internal transcribed spacer 1, and 5.8S ribosomal RNA
Rfam family: Eukaryotic small subunit ribosomal RNA (bases 1-47)
Source: RNAcentral